AUGAAGACAGUUCUAGAUUCAACAGGAAAAUUAUUGCCUCCUCAAAUAUUAAUGACUUCUGAUUUCUCCGAGGCUGGGGAGCAGGCAGAGGCAUUUCUGGCGAUGUGCGAAUUUUCCAGGUUGGAGGAUAAGGCCGUGAAGGCGGCGGCGGCGGCAGCGGGACGAGCGGGACGGGCAGGGAUCGCUUCGCCGCCUUCCCAGCGGGCCAGGAACAAUGGUGCGAGGCGUGGGACGGAGCCCCUCUCCCUCCCGGGCGGCCCCCGCCGCCCCCGCGCCUCGCCCGCAGCCCGGGGGCCGCCACCUCCGGCUCCCCCCCCGGCCCCCCCGUCCUCCCUCCACCCACCCGGAGAAGUUUGUAAAUACCUUAAUCCACUCCCGGAGACGGGGGAUUAUGCCACAAUUUCCAAGCCGAAUUUCACUGAACACUUUUGCCCAGCUACAAGUGUGGGGGUAAAAUGGCGGUUCGGGUCCUGCGCUCCUCCAUCGCCCGGGGAACUUUCUGCGUGGCUGCACCUCCGUGCCCCGGCUGCGGCAGCCGGGACCUGUAAAAUGUCCUCUCCCUGCCGGGGGAGAAGCCGUUCAAAUGUGAAUUCGAGGGCUGUGACAGACGCUUCGCCAACAGCAGCGACAGGAAGAAGCACUCGCACGUCCACACCAGCGACAAGCCCUACAACUGCAAAAUGUCUACCCCGUUGCUCUCAAGGUAAUCUAGACAGACGCAGCUGAAAGCCUGAAUCUUAUGCCUUAGACAUCAAAGCAAGCUCGCACAAAGAAGUAUUUCUUCACAACGGUGAAUCUUCAUGGUAAGUUAGGAUUUCUAUGGCAAUAGGCAAGUCAUACUUAAAUAGUGAAAGGCGAAGUCUGGAGCCCGUCCAGUCUUUUCAUUAAGGACAUAAUAUUUACGUCUAACAGGCCCUUUUUCUUGUGUAUACAAGUAUAUAUUUUUGUUUGACGCGAACUAAAUCAUUUUCAUUUAAUUUCCGGUAAACAAAACCCACGCGAACAGGGCACUUGUUCCAGACCAUAAUAAAAAUGGAUAAGACUGUCAGGAAGAAAAGGCCCGCUUGAACCGUCGCCUCAGCUCACUUUUGUUUCUGCUUUCUGCCGGGAUCAGAGAAUGCGUUUGGGAUUUGAGGGCUAGUUUCUAAAGGCAAGGAAAUGGUUUUUAAGGGGGAAAAGAAAAGGAGAAAGGUCUAAUCAAGCUCGGGUUGUUCAAAGGGCCUGAUUUUGGGGUUGAAAGUGUGAGUUUUAUGGUGCAUCAGCAUGCCACGUUAGGAUCGCUAUGGUAAUGAGGAGAGCAAUAGCAAGCGGCCUUCAAAGGAGGCACACUCCAUUUGAGACAGUCUAUUAAGAUACAUUUGCACUGACCUUUGGUUUCAUGCUAGCUUAAUACACUCAAUCUGCUCCCCGCUAGAGAUAUACUUCCUCCACCUAAUGCACUUCGCCGGAGUUGGGGUCUGCCGGCCUUCGCCCUCCCCCCGAGGCCCGCUCCGCUCGGGUGCUGCAGCCCCGCUCGCCUCCUCCCCAAAGCAAGGGGCUGGGGCUGCCAGCCCGGCUCGGGGCCAGCUCCCCUCCCCUCUCCCCCGUAUUUCUGACCAGCUUCUCCCAGCGAAACCCGGCCACGAAGCCCGUGAAGUUCUUCCCUCUCCACCCCCCCCCCGUCGCGGGGGAAGAGAGGACGGGGACCGAAAGACACACACACCCCCCGCCGCCCUGGGCUGCUGCGGCCCCAGGGAGUAGGUGUGCCGAUGGAAGCCCCCCAGCACCCAAGGAAAGCGGGGCGAGGGCCGGGGGGAGCUGCCAGUGCCCCCCUUGCCUCCCCGCCCCGGCCGGCCGGCGCUGCGCGGCGGCGAGCGGAGGCUCCGCGGUGCGGGGGAACUUGACACCCGCACGGCCGGGGCCAUGGGCGCUGGGCCAUGGGCCCGGGAAAGUUAGAAGUCCAUGUUCCAGUAAUUGUCUUGUUGUUUAUUUUAUCCAAGUACCCUGGUGAAUAGGGGAAAAAUAAACACGAUGAAAAAAAAUUCAAACAGUUGAGUCGUCUUUAGUGCCAGCCCUUGUGGUUGAAUAAAAAGGAUGGUCCAAUUUCUAUUGAGCUGAGAAAUCUUUGAAGUGGGAGUUAUUAUCUGAGAAAUUCCUGCUCGUCGUCCUAACAACGCUGAUGAAACGUAAAAGGUUCUUUGUCAGCGAUUUGUUCUCCUCUCUGUCAAACUCACCCUGCCCGUUAGCUUUAAACCGUUUCUAAAGAGAUAAAAUCAAACUUUUAAAGAUAACUUUAGGGGUCCAGAGGGUGCAGAAAAUACCAAACUAUCGAAUCCUGUGUAUAGACAUACAUCUGGAUAUAUGUGGCUGUGGCUGUGUGAAACUGUCUGUGUACAGAUCACCAUAGAUGUCUGUAUGACCUUACUGUUCGCAAGUUGAAAUGAUGUCCAUUUUUUUGCAUUUUAUCCUCUGAACUUUUCCGUCUAAUACAUUAUUCCUACACAUAUGCUGCACAGAAUGCGAUUCUUGAGAGAAGGCAGAAAUGUUGGGUUUCAUUAACACCACUAUGUGACCAACAAACGUUUUCUUUCCAGUAGAGUGAAAGCAAGAGCGUAGACAUAAGAGUAAAGGCUUUGAUCAUUUUAACAGUCCGAAUACCUAUUAAGCAUGUAUAUACUGCAACGUAUCGAAGUUGUUGACGCAUUCAAAGCGAUGGCUUCCAUAUGCUCUCAUGUUUUAUUGUCCAUAAGUGUAAAGGUAGUCAAACUGCAUCCCUUUUGUAUCUUCAUUUUCUAAACAUCACGGUGUAUAUUGAAAUGAUUCCCUGGUCAAGGUUUAUUUAGUAGUUUCUCAUUGGAGAUCAUGCAGCGCUCUGUUCGUAACACGAAUUCCUUGAAGUUGUAACUCAUCAGUGUACUUCUGGUUUAGUUGCUACAGAAUGAUCUGAGCCCAAUCCUGCCAUUCUAAGCAACCCCAUUAAUUUAAUGGGACUUUUCCUAAGUAAAGACCCAGUCAAACUGCAGUGAAGUGGGUACUGUUAUUAUUAUUAUUAUUGUUAUUGUUAUUAUUAAUUCUGGAUCUUGUCAUAUUUAUGGGAAAAUCUACCACAUUCCUUGUGAACUGUACAGAGGAGACGCCUCUGAAAAUGUAGCUCGCAAAAAAAAAAAAAAUUUGCAAUGCUGAUACGCUGUAUCUCUUUCCAGACUUCUUAUACUCCGUAUUUUCCUUCAUCACGUGUUUGGUAAUGAAGGAAUGUUCUGUUGUGUGUUUGAACAUACUAUUUAUUUUUAAUAUUUGGAUUUUUUUACAAUAAAUAUUUAUAAGCGUUUCAAUUCUAUGGUUAUUUUUACAAAUGUGCACUUUUAAAAUAUGUGUUUGUACUGAUGAUACCGAGCCAUUCCUAAAACACUGUGUAUCAACCUCGUCUUUCUGUUGUUUUUUUGUAUUAGUUGGGGAAAAAAAAUCCCCAAGCCGGUGUACUAUUAAUGUGGUGUACAAUCAAGUACUAAUGCGUGGUUUUUGUUGGUCUUUAACCUCUUUUUAAUGUUAAUCGUUUUAGGUUGGCAUUUGCAUUAAAAGAACAAAACAAAACACUUCUUUGGCUUCGUUUCUGAGAUAACAUUUUUCAGAUCCGAGACUUCAAAU
Molecule: long non-coding RNA, 3624 nt
Organism: Accipiter nisus (Eurasian sparrowhawk)
Lineage: Eukaryota; Metazoa; Chordata; Aves; Accipitriformes; Accipitridae
Source: Ensembl